This 490-nucleotide ribosomal RNA is filed under the name uncultured bacterium. RNAcentral describes it as "partial 16S ribosomal RNA". It matches the Rfam family "Bacterial small subunit ribosomal RNA", at positions 30 to 507 of the family's 1533-position model. The record is from RNAcentral.
AUUGAACGCUGGCGGCAGGCCUAACACAUGCAAGUCGCACGGUAACAGGAAACAGCUUGCUGUUUCGCUGACGAGUGGCGGACGGGUGAGUAAUGUCUGGGAAACUGCCUGAUGGAGGGGGAUAACUACUGGAAACGGUAGCUAAUACCGCAUAACGUCGCCAGACCAAAGAGGGGGACCUUCGGGCCUCUUGCCAUCGGAUGUGCCCAGAUGGGAUUAGCUAGUAGGUGGGGUAACGGCUCACCUAGGCGACGAUCCCUAGCUGGUCUGAGAGGAUGGCCAGCCACACUGGAACUGAGAUACGGUCCAGACUCCUACGGGAGGCAGCAGUGGGGAAUAUAGCACAAUGGGCGCAAGCCAGAUGCAGCCAUGCCGCGUGUAUGAAGAAGGGCUUCGGGUUGUAGAGUACAUCCAGCGGGGAGGAAGGGAGUAAAGUUAAUACCUUGACUUAUUGACGUUACCCGAAGAAGAAGCACCGGCUAACUCCGUG